Molecule: long non-coding RNA, 1930 nt
Filed under: Solanum tuberosum (potato)
Lineage: Eukaryota; Viridiplantae; Streptophyta; Magnoliopsida; Solanales; Solanaceae
Description: long non-coding RNA (STUB_LNC003939)
Source: RNAcentral
CAUAUAUAUAACUAGGAAAAAAAUUUUAGUAACAAAAAUCAGCUUUACCCCUAACUCUUGUUACAUACAAAAAAAUAUUUCUCAUUUUCAUCACAAAAAAUCUGUUCAUCCGAUCUAGAGAAAUAGCUAGCCGACAGGCAGUCAAAUUACAGAACCAAUUUUUCUCAUGGAAUUUGUAGCUUUCAGAUAUGGAUGUAGCACAACUCACAACAAAUCAUACAUCAACGAUGAAGUUUUGCUAUUUCCCUUGCACCCCUAUCCCAUCCAUGUUGUCAACCUUGUAUGAAGUGGUAAUUCCCACCAUUACAGGUACGAAGUAACUUUGCUUAUGAUUUUUUUUCUUUUUAUUGUUGCUUGAAUUCCUAUGUCUCUUAUUCAACUUCAUUGACCACUAAGCGACAUUGUCAAUGUUGGUCUGGUAACUCGUAACUUUUCUUAUUUUUUUUUCCGGAGGGGGAGGGAAUAGGUGUUUAGGGUUUUUUUUUAUGGAGAAACUUGAAGUCGAGGGGAGGGGAUGAGGAUUGAAGAUAGUACAGUGAAGAUAAAAAAAAAAGAAAAGGAAUUUGCUUGAAUCUUUUCUUUUGAUUUUUGUUACUCUCCCACAAAAUAAAGAGAGAAGGGGUUUACAUAUGUGUUUAACGGCAGAAGGAGGAAGAAAAAAAAAACUAUCUGCCUUGUCUGAAUCUAUACAUAAAAACUCAGACCCAACUUUUGCCAAUAUUAUUGAGACCCCAAAUCAUCUAUGGAAAGAAAUACCCUAGAAGAAACGUAACGCUAAAGAUUACAUAAAUUCUGUAGAAUCACUAAUUAUAGCAAGCUGUGAGGUCAGGUAUAGCAUAGCAGAGCGCGUAAUGGUUAGAUCUUCUGGAGGUAAAUUUUUUUUUUAUGGAAAUGUGAAACCUAAUUCAUGAACUUUCUGCAGUUUGGGGCUUUACACAGGCAAGGAACCUUGAAAUCCUCACAUUCGUCUGGUUCAAAUAAGUAGUCGUACCUGUCAGUAUUGCAGCCAAAUGAAAUAUAUCAGGGGCGGACUUACUAAAUGUAGGCAUUAAUUUGUGUGAGCGUGUGAGUGCUGCAUGCUUGUAUGAGAGAGAGAGAGAGAGAGAGAAAUACGUUAAUUCAUCACCAGCAGCCACAUUUGCCUUUGCGAUAAGUACAAUCCGACUCUCAUCAGCUCCUACACUCAUGAUCCGUGCAUAGCAGUUUGGCAUGCACUGUGAAAAUAACAAAGCAAACCCACAAAAAGACUGUAAGAGGACUCAUUGAUUAAGGUAACUUGAGAACGAAAAUACCGCAUUCAUUGACUUGCUAAAUUUGCUGAUCACAGAUGUAUUAUAGGACAAAAAAUAUGGCUUGAAAGGGGAACAUAAUUUCUAGCAUUCUCAGGAGACUUUGCCAUGAUAGGACAUACAUAAAUAUUUGCUGAGUAUUGAAACAUAUUUAUCAAAUUAGGAGUAUAUUUAAGAUCCAAUCAGACAAAUAUUCACUGAUAUCAGAUUAGAUUCAGAUUACAAACAAUCCUACUAUAAUCUUGUGGGGUUAUGAUCAAUACUCAAUUUCUUUCCCUGUUGAACCAUCAAUGAGAUUAAUACCAUUAAAGAAGUAACCACAUAAUGGGUUUGAAAAUGAUCUCCUUCAGUUUUAGAAGACGAAUUGCACCUGUGUAUUUUAUUUUCUUUUACCUAAUUUAGUUCACUAGCCUUUGCUUUUUCAGUUGCAGGUUUUGAUAACAAGGAGCAGCACAAAAAUCGGUAACACACGAAAAGAACACGGAAUACAAGAUCACUUUCUCAAGAAAAAAGAAGAAGAAUUAACAAGAUCUACAGAGCAUGAUAGAAGGGAGAAGCACCAUCAAAUAUAUAAUUCUAGUUUGAUUCCACAUAUGAAGAGAAGAGUCGGGUACAAUGAAAGAUAAGUGAUACUUACUGAA